Molecule: long non-coding RNA, 1131 nt
Organism: Austrofundulus limnaeus
Lineage: Eukaryota; Metazoa; Chordata; Actinopteri; Cyprinodontiformes; Rivulidae
Exons: 3
Source: RefSeq, a predicted model, not a curated record
UGUUUGUUUGUUUGUUUGUUUGUUUGUUUGUUUGUUUGUUUGUGUUUGUUUGUUUGCAGCAGUCCUGUGCUCCUCAGGUUGAUGUGAAUCAUCCAGCUUCAGUCAGAGUGAUUAAUCUCCUCUGACAGGAGGUCAGAGCCUGCAGGACCUCAGAGCCGUGGGCUGAACGCUCACAUUCACCGCUGUAAGUGAACGCAGCGUGGGCGGACCGRCCGACCCGGGUCAGCUCUCUGGAGAGUGGGCCGAGCCCACAGAAACCUUCUGCAGCAGCUGAGCUCGUUAACGAGCAGCUUAACGAGGCUCACCUGUCAGCAGGCCGUCUGCAGGUCCAGACCCAGACCCAGAACCAGAACCAGAACCUGUCAGAGAUGAGGGUCUCGGAUCAUUUGGAUCAAACACUUAAAGGAUUUCCUGUCUUUGAGUCUCAGCUUGACUUCAUUGAACUCUGUGAAAACAACCUGCAGAAACAUGAAGACCAACAAACUGUCAUCUUCCAUCAUCUGCAGCUCCUGAGGUUUGUUUUUACAACACACCAACACAAACUCACUGGUUUUCAGCUCUUUAAACCAGCCGGUGCGUUCAGGGACCCUCCUGUCAGCUGCCAACACAAACCUUCASUGUUUCUUCAGUCAUUAUUAAACGUUUAAAUUGUUUAAAAGUUUUGAUGACUGUAGAAGAAACAUUAUUUCUCCUGGAAACUUUUGAUUAAUUCUGCUUGUAUUAUUUUAUUAACUUUAAAAUUAAAAAUGAUGUGACAUAAACAAAUUAGGAUAAAUUAAGUUUCUGAUCCUGUCAUCCACAAACAACAUUUUUAAAUAUUUUUCAUUUAAAUAUAUUUCUAUACUUAUUUUCCAUGCUGGAAAAGAGAUUGAAUAGAUAAAUUGUUGUAACUUUCUGGGUUUAAGAAUGAAACUACGACUAAACUGACAAAGUUUUACUGUUUUUAGAGCCCUGAGGAGGAUCAGUUUAAAUAUUCUUCUGUUCAGGAAUUCUCUGAGAGCUGCUCCUCUGAAAGGAUUUGAUCUUGGAUCCCGUCCAGAACAGCAUCUAAGACCAAAUCCUUCACUUCCUGUUAACAUAAUGACAGAUCAGUUCAAAUGUUAAAAUACCUGAGUCAUGUUCAAAUGUUAA